GAUGAACGCUGGCGGUAUGCUUAACACAUGCAAGUCGAACGGACUCUUCGGAGUUAGUGGCGGACGGGUGAGUAACGCGUGAGAAUCUGGCUUUGGGUUCGGGACAACCACUGGAAACGGUGGCUAAUACCGGAUGUGCCGAGAGGUAAAAGAGAAAUUGCCUGAAGAUGAGCUCGCGUCUGAUUAGCUAGUUGGUGAGGUAAAGGCUCACCAAGGCAGCGAUCAGUAGCUGGUCUGAGAGGAUGACCAGCCACACUGGGACUGAGACACGGCCCAGACUCCUACGGGAGGCAGCAGUGGGGAAUUUUCCGCAAUGGGCGAAAGCCUGACGGAGCAAUACCGCGUGAGGGAAGAAGGCUGUUGGGUUGUAAACCUCUUUUCUUAGGGAAGAACAAAAUGACGGUACCUAAGGAAUCAGCAUCGGCUAACUCCGUG
RNAcentral lists this ribosomal RNA (435 nucleotides) under uncultured bacterium. Its description in RNAcentral is "partial 16S ribosomal RNA". It matches the Rfam family "Bacterial small subunit ribosomal RNA", at positions 28 to 507 of the family's 1533-position model. The record is from RNAcentral.